GACGAACGCUGGCGGCGUGCCUAAUACAUGCAAGUAGAACGCUGAAGAGAGGAGCUUGCUCUUCUUGGAUGAGUUGCGAACGGGUGAGUAACGCGUAGGUAACCUGCCUGGUAGCGGGGGAUAACUAUUGGAAACGAUAGCUAAUACCGCAUAAAAUUGAUUAUUGCAUGAUAAUUAAUUGAAAGAUGCAAUUGCAUCACUACCAGAUGGACCUGCGUUGUAUUAGCUAGUUGGUGAGGUAACGGCUCACCAAGGCGACGAUACAUAGCCGACCUGAGAGGGUGAUCGGCCACACUGGGACUGAGACACGGCCCAGACUCCUACGGGAGGCAGCAGUAGGGAAUCUUCGGCAAUGGGGGGAACCCUGACCGAGCAACGCCGCGUGAGUGAAGAAGGUUUUCGGAUCGUAAAGCUCUGUUGUAAGAGAAGAACGGGUGUGAGAGNGGAAAGUUCACACNGNGACGG
This 465-nucleotide ribosomal RNA is filed under the name uncultured bacterium. RNAcentral's name for it is "bacterial SSU rRNA". It matches the Rfam family "Bacterial small subunit ribosomal RNA", at positions 28 to 475 of the family's 1533-position model. The record is from RNAcentral.